Molecule: long non-coding RNA, 567 nt
Filed under: Pan troglodytes (chimpanzee)
Lineage: Eukaryota; Metazoa; Chordata; Mammalia; Primates; Hominidae
Description: long non-coding RNA NONPTRT015788
Source: RNAcentral
AAAGACCAGAGUUUCCUAGUGCUAAGUUCUCAGGUUGAGGACUGAGUGCCACUGGAAAUUUCCCGGACGAAAAGCUGCUUGGAGCCUCCAGGGACCGGCAUCCGAGGCGGGGCUAAAGGCCAGUGGCGCAAGCAGAAGGAGGAGCGCACCGGUUGCAAGCACGUGACCGGGGCCUGAAGCCGGAAGCUACCUAUCUGGUAGGGAGCUCCCCCAGCACCGAAGACUGCGAUGGUGAGUGAGGACGCAUGCGCGAGAGGACCCGCCGGGGGUUCAGCGUCUCUGCUCCCCAGUCUGUGUGGUUUCCCCCUCGUGGGCCUGCGCUCCACCCUCACCUCCUAUCCGCUCGGGGAGGAAGAGGGGAUGGAGAUGGGAGGGAUGGCGACGAGAAUGCUGGGGAGGGGUCUGUGGGAGGGUGUUCUGGGGUUGCGGGUAGUCUGCAGGUCGGGCGGAGACGAGGGGAGGUGAAGAGAGGGUCUGGGGGCAGGGGCCAGUGGGGCAGCAAAGGCCCCUUGGGGUAGCAAAGGUGGGAUGUGGAAGGCCAGGGGAACCCGGGGGCGAGAGUGGGGG